Gadus macrocephalus (Pacific cod) is the source of this 318-nucleotide long non-coding RNA. RefSeq lists it as uncharacterized. The record is from RefSeq and is a predicted model, not a curated record. The transcript is spliced from 2 exons. Lineage: Eukaryota; Metazoa; Chordata; Actinopteri; Gadiformes; Gadidae.
UAACCUCUCACCCAGGCUUUAUGCCUCAUAUGAAGAGUGGGGUAUUGGAUACAUAUUUCCGGACCCAGAAAGUGAACUGGAAACGCCAGCCAAAGCCCGCCGGGAGAAACAGACGUCUGAGCAUAGAGUAAUAUCGGCUUCCUGUGUUGUCCAGGCCAUCAGAGCUAAUUACCCAGCACAAGAUGGGCAGUACCGUGGCUACCAGGAGACAGUAGAUGCUCAAGAUAAGCUGUGACUAUUUUGACUCUAGCAAACGCACCCUACACGUUUCAUUUUUGUAAAAAGUUCAUAUUCUUUCAUGAAUAAAACUUCAAAUUC